This 494-nucleotide ribosomal RNA is filed under the name uncultured bacterium. Its description in RNAcentral is "partial 16S ribosomal RNA". It matches the Rfam family "Bacterial small subunit ribosomal RNA", at positions 899 to 1397 of the family's 1533-position model. The record is from RNAcentral.
ACUCAAAUGAAUUGACGGGGACCCGCACAAGCGGUGGAUGAUGUGGUUUAAUUCGAUGCAACGCGAAAAACCUUACCCACCUUUGACAUGUACGGAAUUCCGCAGAGAUGUGGAAGUGCUCGAAAGAGAACCGUAACACAGGUGCUGCAUGGCUGUCGUCAGCUCGUGUCGUGAGAUGUUGGGUUAAGUCCCGCAACGAGCGCAACCCUUGUCAUUAGUUGCUACGAAAGGGCACUCUAAUGAGACUGCCGGUGACAAACCGGAGGAAGGUGGGGAUGACGUCAAGUCCUCAUGGCCCUUAUAGGUGGGGCUACACACGUCAUACAAUGGCCGGUACAAAGGGCUGCCAACCCGCGAGGGGGAGCUAAUCCCAUAAAACCGGUCGUAGUCCGGAUCGCAGUCUGCAACUCGACUGCGUGAAGUCGGAAUCGCUAGUAAUCGUGGAUCAGAAUGUCACGGUGAAUACGUUCCCGGGUCUUGUACACACCGCCCGU